RNAcentral lists this ribosomal RNA (253 nucleotides) under uncultured bacterium. RNAcentral's name for it is "partial 16S ribosomal RNA". It matches the Rfam family "Bacterial small subunit ribosomal RNA", at positions 524 to 776 of the family's 1533-position model. The record is from RNAcentral.
UACGUAGGGGGCAAGCGUUGUCCGGAUUUAUUGGGCGUAAAGCGCGCGCAGGCGGUGCGGUAAGUCCGUCGUGAAAUCUCCCGGCUCAACUGGGAGGGUGCGGUGGAGACUGCCGGACUGGAGGCACUCAGAGGCCGGUGGAAUUCCCGGUGUAGUGGUGAAAUGCGCAGAUAUCAGGAGGAACACCGGUGGCGAAGGCGGGUCUCUGGGCCGAUACUGACGCUGAGGAGCGAAAGCGUGGGGAGCGAACAGG